Molecule: ribosomal RNA, 253 nt
Filed under: uncultured bacterium
Lineage: Bacteria
Description: partial 16S ribosomal RNA
Rfam family: Bacterial small subunit ribosomal RNA
Source: RNAcentral
UACGGAGGGGGCAAGCGUUGUCCGGACUUACUGGGCGUAAAGGGUGCGUAGGCGGCCUGCUGCGUCGGUGCUGAAAGCGCCCGGCUUAACCGGGCGAGGCGUGCCGAUACGAGCGGGCUGGAGGCUUGGCGAGGGUGGCGGAACUCCUGGUGUAGUGGUGAAAUGCGUAGAGAUCAGGAAGAACACCCGUGGCGCAAGCGGCCACCUGGCCAAGAGCUGACGCUGAGGCACGAGAGCGUGGGGAGCGAACCGG